Molecule: unclassified non-coding RNA, 376 nt
Filed under: soil metagenome
Description: partial contains 5.8S ribosomal RNA, internal transcribed spacer 2, and large subunit ribosomal RNA
Rfam family: 5.8S ribosomal RNA (bases 1-120)
Source: RNAcentral
GAUGAAGAACGUAGCGAAAUGCGAUAAGUAAUGUGAAUUGCAGAAUUCAGUGAAUCAUCGAAUCUUUGAACGCAUCUUGCGCUCCUUGGUAUUCUGAGGAGCAUGCCUGUUUGAGUGUCAUUAAAUUCUCAACUACACUGACUUUGAAUUGGUGUGGCUUGGAUUUGGGGGGAAAAUUGUUGUGGGCUUUUUGUAUAGUCUGCUCCCCUGAAAUUGAUUAGCGGUACCUUUGUGGAACUGUCUACAGGUGUGAUAAUUAUCUACAUCUUAGACAUCUGCUGGAAUGCUGCUUUCUAAACCUUACUUGUAUUGACAAUCUUGACCUCAAAUCAGGUAGGACUACCCGCUGAACUUACGCAUAUCAAUAAGCGGAGGA